CUACGGGUGGCAGCAGUGGGGAAUAUUGCACAAUGGGCGCAAGCCUGAUGCAGCAACGCCGUGUGAGUGAAGAAGGCCUUCGGGUUGUAAAACUCUGUCCUAAGGGAAGAAACAAAUGACGGUACCUUAGGAGGAAGCCCCGGCUAACUACGUGCCAGCAGCCGCGGUAAUACGUAGGGGGCAAGCGUUAUCCGGAAUCACUGGGCGUAAAGGGUGCGUAGGCGGCCUAUCAAGUCAGAAGUGAAAGGCAUUGGCUCAACCAAUGUAAGCUUUUGAAACUGUUGGGCUUGAGUGCAGGAGAGGUAAGUGGAAUUCCUAGUGUAGAGGUGAAAUUCGUAGAUAUUAGGAGGAACACCAGUGGCGAAGGCGACUUACUGGACUGUAACUGACGCUGAGGCACGAAAGCGUGGGGAGCGAACAGGAUUAGAUACCCCGUAGUC
RNAcentral lists this ribosomal RNA (440 nucleotides) under uncultured bacterium. RNAcentral describes it as "partial 16S ribosomal RNA". It matches the Rfam family "Bacterial small subunit ribosomal RNA", at positions 339 to 795 of the family's 1533-position model. The record is from RNAcentral.